Molecule: unclassified non-coding RNA, 239 nt
Filed under: uncultured Clavulina
Lineage: Eukaryota; Fungi; Basidiomycota; Agaricomycetes; Cantharellales; Hydnaceae
Description: sequence contains ITS2
Source: RNAcentral
AAUUUCUCAAGCUUGGAUGGCUUUUUUGUCUGUCCUUAGCCUUGGUUGUUGGGCUUUGCCGUGUCCUUUGUUGGGACAGCUGGCCUUAAAAGCAUUAGCUGAUCCUCGUGUGGCACUGGUUCUACUCAGCGUGAUAACAAGUCUGAUUGCUGAGGACAUCUUUUGGGAUGGCCAGUUCCCAUUUGGGUUGCUUCCAAACUUGGUUUUGCAGACUCUUCAAUCUGUGUUCCACUUUUCAG